Symphalangus syndactylus (siamang) is the source of this 2607-nucleotide long non-coding RNA. RefSeq lists it as uncharacterized. The record is from RefSeq and is a predicted model, not a curated record. Lineage: Eukaryota; Metazoa; Chordata; Mammalia; Primates; Hylobatidae.
CACAGCGCUUAGCCAUUCAGCAGUUUAUGACCUUGGUUUACUAAGUCCUCGUAACAAGAUUACCGGAGGAGUUUUGCAAGCUUCUAGACCCAGGUGUGGCUGAAGGUCCAUGGGGUGAGAUGGCUGACUGACAGAAGGAAGUUGUUCUCUGGGGUGUGUGUGUGACCCAAAGACCAAUGGAGGGAGGAAGAACAGAUGCUCCAAAUGGCCACUGCACUUCUCCAAUGUCUGAAGAUUUCCAGAUGGACAGCACCAUCACAUGCCCACGCAGCGUGGAUACAGCAACAUCCAGGGCUCGGGUGCGGGCAUAGUCUUUGCUCCCUACUUACGGCUGUAAGCAGUCCCACCUCAGCUUCACAUCCAAGCUGGCUAAGAACCCUGGACAAAGAGAAUCUGUUGAGAGGAGCUUAGAGGAAGACAGGAGGUGAGUACACAGAGAUGCUGACUUAGUCAUGACCAUCAUGGUUACAGUGCCGGGCAGUGCUGCUGGUCAUGGUGACAGUGGUACAGGUGGUCUCAAUGUGAUGUGAUAGUGGCUUGCCAACCGAUAUUGUUGAUGUGGGUUCAGGCCUGCAGGAGAACAAUGAGCUAGACCAUCCUCUAACCUCACAUCCUAAACUUUACUGCCUUUCUUUCUUACAGCAUUUUCACCAUCUCUGUUUAUCAACAGUCACAUCCUAGCUCUGGGCACUCAUCUCUCAAUAAUAUGUUGAGAGAGGAUGGAAAAAGAAAAUCUUUCUCAUUUUCCAACUCGUACCCAUGAAGAUACAAAUAAACAAAACUCCUGACUCUUGUGAAUGUCACCAAGAAAAAAAUUAGUUUGAAGACUAACCAGUAACUCACAAGUCAACCCAGAAGUUUCUGGAAAUGAACAGGAAGCAAAGCACACCAGGGGUUGUCAGCUUUCACCGCAGCUGAGGUCUUGCACUGUCCAACCUGAUGAUGAGGUACUUCCCUGAGACCCUGGCCACCCUGCCAGCGCCAUGGCACCACUGCUAACAGGUGUGGGAUGCUGGGACCUCCACCGCCCACCUUCAGCUCAAGUCUCCAGUGUCCCCGGGCUGAUUCUCCUCACUCACUGCUCACUUGGUCCAGCUGGCCAAGCUUGGGUCCUGUGUCCACACCCCACUGCCAGGGGUCUAGGAGAGCUAGUAGCCAGCCUUUCCUGUUUCCCUGGUGGAUGGCAGAGUCCCAAUAUGAGAAGUGGGUUCAAAUGCAAGGCAGCCAAAAAACCAGGAAAUAUUUAGCUCACUCACCUAAUCCUGGCUAUUUUCAGCUGAUCAACAAACAGAAAAGCAGAAAACCCCAAAUUUGACUGCUCUAUCUGCUUAUCCUUCUGUGAGCCCUUCUAAGCAGGCUUUGGAGAAUAGCCCCACAUGCAGCUGUGGGGUUUAAUUGAAUCCUGUUCAGGAGGAAAAGAUAGAGGUGGUUGUCAGGCAUGUGGCUCAGUUGACUAUUCAGAGUUGGAGUCUUUGCUUUUGGGCAGUGAGGUCUCAGGAGCCAGGGGACCUCGGCCAGUCCCAGUGAACUGAAUGAAGGGUCACUAGCAGAAGCAAGAGGCACCAUGGGGCCCCAGGAAGAUCAGGAGCCUGGACGUGCCUAGUUCCAGCACAUUCUGUGGAGCUGUUCACCAGCCAAGGAGCCGGGAAGUCUGGGUUCCAGCCCAGCCCUGCCUUUGCUUCUGGCAUAACUUUGAGCAGAUCUUUCAACUUUUGUGACUCAGUUUACUCAUUUGCCAAAUGGAGAUAAUCAUAUGGCACUCAAAAGACUUUUGUAAGACUCUAAUGAGUGUUUAUAAAGCACUUUGGAGAGGUUUAUAGUUAUUUGAGCUGGGAAAGGAAUUACAAAUUAUUCAGGAGUAAACAGUAUUUAGAAUCUGAAUUUUUCAGCCACCAACAGGUUUUCCUAGAUGUUUACAAGACUGUCAUAACAGGACACCCUGGGGUUCCAUCCGUGCCACUUGGUUGCAUUCAGAGCAGCUCUCCUCCCUGAAAAGCGUAUCACAGGCUUGGGGAGGGUCAUGCAACCACAUAUGGCACAUUUUGCAGCUCUCAAGACAAGAGAAUGACUGGAUUUAGAAAUGGAAGCCGCACACUCAAGACUUUCAUUUUCUUUUUUGUUUUUUUUUCCUUUCUUCAUUUUAAUUUUACUUUUGAAACUGGUGAUAGCAUCAGAGCAAGUCUCCAUAGACCUGCUUUGAAAGCCAGAUAGCCUGGCAUGGUUGCAUGCACGUAUAAUCUCAGCUACUCUGGAGACUGACGUGGGACGAUCACUCGAGCCAGGAGGUCAAGGCUGCAGUGAGCUAGGAUGGCACCACUGCUCUCCAGCCUGGGCAACAGAGCAGGAAGACCCUGUCUCAAAUAAAUGAAUAAAUGAAUGAGUAAUAAAUAAAUGCUAGAUAAACCUGAUUUCUCCCCAACUAUAACACCUCUUCCCAAACUGGAUGUCUGCUAUCCCUACCUCCAUGAGAAUUUGCGCUGCAUGUGAUAAUAACAGAUACCCAUUCACAAGGAAACACAUUUCAUUCCCACAGGAGUUUGGAAUUUUAAAACAUAGAGUACUUGUGUGUAAGGAGAAAAAUAAUAAAAUCUGCUGAGUCUUCAUGUG